This is a long non-coding RNA of Neofelis nebulosa (Clouded leopard), 863 nucleotides long. RefSeq lists it as uncharacterized. The transcript is spliced from 3 exons. Lineage: Eukaryota; Metazoa; Chordata; Mammalia; Carnivora; Felidae. The record is from RefSeq and is a predicted model, not a curated record.
GUCACUAAAAUGAGGAAGCAUAUGUUCAUUCUCCUUGUAAAUUCUUCCUCUGUCUGGAAUGUGGAUGUGAUUCCAGAACUGGAACAGCCAGCCAUCUUGGGCAUCAGUCUUAAGAGAUUGAAGCCUCAUCUUGAAGUUACUGGAAAAAUAUCCAAGGACUUUGGGUACCUGAUUAUAUGGAGCUUCUAAAUCAGUAUCAGACUGCCUUCCUUUAUAUAAGAGAGAAAGAACCUGUCCUGUAUAAGAAAUCUAUUGGGUUUUCUGUCAUUGGCAACCUAAUCUAAUUCAAGCCUAAAAAUAUAGACAAAAUGAAAGCCAAAUUUUAAGUUCACUUAUUUUCUUAAUAAGUUUGUUCUCAAUUUACACAUGCCUAGUCUUUUUAUAUCUCUUUUUGAUCAUAUUCCCACUGUGGACUUCUGGAUUCCUGUAGACAUUACCUUUGAUUCGUUUCCAUGGUGCUAAAGGAGGGAGACAGAAGGGGUGAAAAGAGGAUAUACAGAUUUCACUACAAGGUGCAAGAGAAAAUCAUACUGGAAAGGACAGCACAGCUGGCAUAAGAGUGGCAGUAGCAGGAUUCCAAACAUGUUAGACAACAGCACUUCAUCUGGGAGAAACUUAAAAGCUUCACAAGUGUACAACUGCUCAGAGAUAGAGGCAACACAGCCCCAGAAGAGGAAGAAAAAUUACAGGAAAUCCUGACCUACGUUUGUCCAAAAUCAUCAAACAAUCUGGGUAACUGGUAUUCACUCAUAUGAUAGCUUUUAAGUUGUCAGCAAUUCUUGGCAAAUAUAAGAAUAGAAAGUAACUUUAGCAACUCUGAGCUCUAAAAGGCUUAGUUUUCUCAUGGGUCUCUUGUCCUUAGU